RNAcentral lists this ribosomal RNA (417 nucleotides) under uncultured Bacillota bacterium. RNAcentral's name for it is "bacterial SSU rRNA". It matches the Rfam family "Bacterial small subunit ribosomal RNA", at positions 356 to 774 of the family's 1533-position model. The record is from RNAcentral. Lineage: Bacteria; Bacillati; Bacillota.
AGGGAAUAUUGCGCAAUGGAGGGAACUCUGACGCAGCGACGCCGCGUGAGCGAUGAAGGUCUUCGGAUCGUAAAGCUCUGUCCUUGGGGAAGAAGGGAGCCGUAAGGCUUCUUGACGGUACCCAUGGAGGAAGCCCCGGCUAACUACGUGCCAGCAGCCGCGGUAAUACGUAGGUGGCGAGCGUUAUCCGGAUUUACUGGGUGUAAAGGGCGCGCAGGCGGCCCUGGAAGUCAGAUGUGAAAGAUCAAGGCUUAACUUUGACAGGUCAUCUGAAACUUUGGGGCUUGAGUAUCAGAGGGGAAAGUGGAAUUCCUAGUGGAGCGGUAAAAUGCACAGAGAUUAGGAGGAACACCGGUGGCGAAGGCGACUUUCUGGCUGACAACUGACGCUGAGGCGCGAAAGCGUGGGGAGCAAACA